This 759-nucleotide ribosomal RNA is filed under the name uncultured Enterobacteriaceae bacterium. Its description in RNAcentral is "bacterial SSU rRNA". It matches the Rfam family "Bacterial small subunit ribosomal RNA", at positions 28 to 776 of the family's 1533-position model. Lineage: Bacteria; Pseudomonadati; Pseudomonadota; Gammaproteobacteria; Enterobacterales; Enterobacteriaceae. The record is from RNAcentral.
AUUGAACGCUGGCGGCAGGCCUAACACAUGCAAGUCGAGCGGCAGCGGGAAGUAGCUUGCUACUUUGCCGGCGAGCGGCGGACGGGUGAGUAAUGUCUGGGAAACUGCCUGAUGGAGGGGGAUAACUACUGGAAACGGUAGCUAAUACCGCAUGACCUCGCAAGAGCAAAGUGGGGGACCUUCGGGCCUCACGCCAUCGGAUGUGCCCAGAUGGGAUUAGCUAGUAGGUGAGGUAAUGGCUCACCUAGGCGACGAUCCCUAGCUGGUCUGAGAGGAUGACCAGCCACACUGGAACUGAGGCACGGUCCAGACUCCUACGGGAGGCAGCAGUGGGGAAUAUUGCACAAUGGGCGCAAGCCUGAUGCAGCCAUGCCGCGUGUGUGAAGAAGGCCUUCGGGUUGUAAAGCACUUUCAGCGAGGAGGAAGGGUUCAGUGUUAAUAGCACUGUGCAUUGACGUUACUCGCAGAAGAAGCACCGGCUAACUCCGUGCCAGCAGCCGCGGUAAUACGGAGGGUGCAAGCGUUAAUCGGAAUUACUGGGCGUAAAGCGCACGCAGGCGGUUUGUUAAGUCAGAUGUGAAAUCCCCGAGCUUAACUUGGGAACUGCAUUUGAAACUGGCAAGCUAGAGUCUUGUAGAGGGGGGUAGAAUUCCAGGUGUAGCGGUGAAAUGCGUAGAGAUCUGGAGGAAUACCGGUGGCGAAGGCGGCCCCCUGGACAAAGACUGACGCUCAGGUGCGAAAGCGUGGGGAGCAAACAGG